CUCUAAGGUGACUGCCGGUGACAAACCGGAGGAAGGUGGGGAUGACGUCAAAUCAUCAUGCCCCUUAUGACCUGGGCUACACACGUGCUACAAUGGACGGUACAAAGAGCUGCAAGACCGCGAGGUGGAGCUAAUCUCAUAAAACCGUUCUCAGUUCGGAUUGUAGGCUGCAACUCGCCUACAUGAAGCUGGAAUCGCUAGUAAUCGCGGAUCAGCAUGCCGCGGUGAAUACGUUCCCGGGCCUUGUACACACCGCCCGUCACACCACGAGAGUUUGUAACACCCGAAGUCGGUGGGGUAACCUUUAUGGAGCCAGCCGCCUAAGGUGGGACAGAUGAUUGGGGUGAAGUCGUAACAAGGUAGCCGUAUCGGAAGGUGCGGCUGGAUCACCUCCUUU
RNAcentral lists this ribosomal RNA (397 nucleotides) under Bacillus wiedmannii. RNAcentral's name for it is "partial 16S ribosomal RNA". It matches the Rfam family "Bacterial small subunit ribosomal RNA", at positions 1138 to 1533 of the family's 1533-position model. The record is from RNAcentral. RNAcentral also lists the same sequence under 2 other names. Lineage: Bacteria; Bacillati; Bacillota; Bacilli; Caryophanales; Bacillaceae.